RNAcentral lists this transfer RNA (77 nucleotides) under Deltaproteobacteria bacterium. Its description in RNAcentral is "tRNA-Pro". It matches the Rfam family "tRNA". Rfam says of the family: Transfer RNA (tRNA) molecules are approximately 80 nucleotides in length. Their secondary structure includes four short double-helical elements and three loops (D, anti-codon, and T loops). The record is from RNAcentral. RNAcentral also lists the same sequence under 2 other names. Lineage: Bacteria; Pseudomonadati; Myxococcota; Myxococcia.
CGGGGCGUAGCGCAGUCUGGUAGCGCACUUGACUGGGGGUCAAGUGGUCGCAGGUUCAAAUCCUGUCGCCCCGACCA